AACGAACGCUGGCGGCGUGGAUAAGGCAUGCAAGUCGAGCGCGAAAGUUUCCUUCGGGGAGCGAGUAGAGCGGCAAACGGGUGAGUAACACGUGAGCAACCUGCCUUUGGGUGGGGGAUAACUCCGGGAAACCGGAGCUAAUACCGCAUAAUGUUGUUUGGCCGCAGGGCUGGGCAACCAAAGGGGGGGAUCUUCGGACCUCCCGCCUGAUGAGGGGCUCGCGUCUGAUUAGCUUGUUGGUGAGGUAAUGGCUCACCAAGGCAACGAUCAGUAGCCAGUCUGAGAGGACGAUUGGCCACACUGGGAUUGAGAUACGGCCCAGACUCCUACGGGAGGCAGCAGUCUAGAAGCUUCGGCAAUGGGCGAAAGCCUGACCGAGCGACGCCGCGUGCGGGACGAAGGUCUUCGGAUCGUAAACCGCUUUCGGCGGGGAUGAAAGCACGCAGGAAUAAUACCUUAUUGUGUUUGACAGUACCCGCAGAAGAAGCCCUGGCUAACUCCGUGCCAGCAGCCGCGGUAAUACGGAGAGGGCAAGUGUUGUUCGGAUUUAUUGGGCGUAAAGCGCGUGUAGGCGGUCGAGUAAGUCAGAUGUUAAAGACCCACGGCUCACCCGGGGGAAUGCGUCUGAAACUGCUUGACUAGAGUAUUGGAGAGGAAAGUGGAAUUCCAGGUGUAGCGGUGAAAUGCGUAGAUAUCUGGAGGAACACCGGUGGCGAAGGCGGCUUUCUGGCCAAUUACUGACGCUGAGACGCGAAAGCGUGGGGAGCGAACGGGAUUAGAUACCCCGGUAGUCCACGCCGUAAACGUUGGAUACUAGGUGUGGGAGGUUUUCUACCCCUUCUGUGCCGAAGCUAACGCAUUAAGUAUCCCGCCUGGGGAGUACGAUCGCAAGAUUGAAACUCAAAGGAAUUGACGG
This 916-nucleotide ribosomal RNA is filed under the name uncultured bacterium. RNAcentral describes it as "bacterial SSU rRNA". It matches the Rfam family "Bacterial small subunit ribosomal RNA", at positions 28 to 916 of the family's 1533-position model. The record is from RNAcentral.